Oncorhynchus gorbuscha (pink salmon) is the source of this 676-nucleotide long non-coding RNA. RefSeq lists it as uncharacterized. Lineage: Eukaryota; Metazoa; Chordata; Actinopteri; Salmoniformes; Salmonidae. The record is from RefSeq and is a predicted model, not a curated record. The transcript is spliced from 5 exons.
AGAUUGCUCCAGAGAGAACAACUGACAGGGUUUUUAAACCAAGGGAAAGGAACUGUGAUUGGGUAGGAGAAAAGGAGCAGGUGUCUUCUGAUUAGCGACUGAUUGGGGAAUGAUUGCCAUCUAAAAUACUUCAAAAUGAGAAGAUACUGCCAUGGACAAGAUUGGGUGGACAUAAAGUGUAAAGGAGGGGAAAUUACUCCCACCAUGCAACAGAACAGCUUCAGCUGCGGGGUCUUUGUAAUGCAGAUGGCCGAGGAAGUUGCACAGAACUUCCCUAACAUCCCCUCCCAAAUGGAUAUAGAACCUUCACAAAAACACAGAGCAGCUGUGAAAAGAAAUGGCUGAGGAUAUACUAAAAAUGCCUGAGUUCAACAAAGGCAACAACUGCUCCACGUGUGCCAUUGAUAAAGUACCUGGCUGUUGCCCAAAGACUGACUGGAUUGAAUGUUUUGCAUGCCAACGGUGGUUCCAUGUGCUGUACCUAGGGAUGAAUACAAAUGACUUCAAUAGGUGUGAAGAACACAAACUGGAAGUGAUGUCUUUGUUUAAAAUGUAUGCUAUACCCCAUCCACACUGAAGAGGCUCUGAAAUGUACAUCAACCAGGGAUAAAGAGGAAGUAACACUGAAAUGUUUUGUACUUAUUUGACGUAAAGUGUCUGACAUUUUAGAAAAUAU